RNAcentral lists this ribosomal RNA (390 nucleotides) under Thayeria boehlkei. RNAcentral's name for it is "partial 12S ribosomal RNA". It matches the Rfam family "Bacterial small subunit ribosomal RNA", at positions 794 to 1384 of the family's 1533-position model. Lineage: Eukaryota; Metazoa; Chordata; Actinopteri; Characiformes; Characidae. The record is from RNAcentral.
GCUUAGCCUUAAACAUAGAUGUUUAUACUACAAAAAACAUCCGCCAGGGUACUACGAGCGCUAGCUUAAAACCCAAAGGACUUGACGGUGUCUCAGACCCACCUAGAGGAGCCUGUUCUAGAACCGAUAAUCCUCGUUAAACCUUACCACCCCUGGUUUUCCCCAGCCUAUAUACCGCCGUCGCAAGCUUACCCUGUGAAGGAUUAACAGUAAGCAAAAUGAGAUCAUCCUCAAAACGUCAGGUCGAGGUGUAGCUUACGGGGUGGAAAGAAAUGGGCUACAUUUUCUGUAUCAGAAUAUACGAACAGGGUUAUGAAACUAACCCUAGAAGGUGGAUUUAGUAGUAAAAAUCAAGCAGAGAGUCAUUUUGAACUAGGCUCUGAGACGCGC